This 745-nucleotide ribosomal RNA is filed under the name uncultured Anaerococcus sp. Its description in RNAcentral is "bacterial SSU rRNA". It matches the Rfam family "Bacterial small subunit ribosomal RNA", at positions 28 to 776 of the family's 1533-position model. The record is from RNAcentral. Lineage: Bacteria; Bacillati; Bacillota; Tissierellia; Tissierellales; Peptoniphilaceae.
GAUAAACGCUGGCGGCGUGCAUAACACAUGCAAGUCGAACGAUGAAACUUGUUUGAUUUCUUCGGAAUGAUUUUAAGUGGAUUAGUGGCGAACGGGUGAGUAACACGUGAGUAACCUGCCUUACACAAGGGGAUAGCCUUUGGAAACGAAGAAUAAUACCCUAUAACGUCAAAAUAUCGCAUGAUAGAAUGACCAAAGAUUUAUCGGUGUAAGAUGGACUUGCGUCUGAUUAGCUAGUUGGUGAGAUAAAAGCCCACCAAGGCAACGAUCAGUAGCCGGCUUGAGAGAGUGUACGGCCACAUUGGGACUGAGACACGGCCCAAACUCCUACGGGAGGCAGCAGUGGGGAAUUUUGCACAAUGGGGGAAACCCUGAUGCAGCGACGCCGCGUGAUUUAGAAGGCCUUCGGGUUGUAAAAAUCUUUUUUAUGGGAUGAAAAUGACAGUACCAUAAGAAUAAGGUCCGGCUAAAUACGUGCCAGCAGCCGCGGUAAUACGUAUGGACCGAGCGUUGUCCGGAAUCAUUGGGCGUAAAGGGUACGUAGGCGGCCUAGUAAGUUAGAAGUGAAAUAAUAUAGCUCAACUAUAUAAAGCUUUUAAAACUGUUAGGCUUGAGAGAUGAAAGGGAAAGUGGAAUUCCUAGUGUAGCGGUGAAAUGCGCAGAUAUUAGGAAGAAUACCAGUGGCGAAGGCGACUUUCUGGUCAUCCUCUGACGCUGAGGUACGAAAGCGUGGGUAGCAAACAGG